AUAUUUAAAGUUUAGAUUCCUCAAGGUUGUUGAUAAGACUGGAGGAACUGGAGUGAAUUUCCAGUCCUGUUCAACCAGAGAGGGAAAAUGAGGCAGAAUUAUUUCAGUGCAGCCACUUCUCCACAGAUCUAUUCUUAUAUACAGUUUAUUUCACUAGAGAUUUUAAAUUUAUACAUAGUAUAAAGGGGUAUUCUGGUAUCACACAUAGUUAUUUUACUGUACUGUUUAAGAACCAAUUUUUUACAUAAUACAGUAUUAAGUACCAUGUUAAUUAAAACAAGUGAUUUUUUUAAAAAAAACUACAUAUAAAUGGAUGUUUAUCAUAUGCACAGUGCAAGAACGGCUUGAUAUCAUUGUAAUCACAAAAUGUGAAUCUAAAAUACAACACUGUGAUUGAAAACUAAUUGAUGAUUAUGAUGCCCUGUGUUGUAGACAUUGAUUAAUCUUUGUUUGAAUUACCAAGCAAGGUUAAAAUUCCAGACAAACAGCAGCAGCUUCUCAUUAUGGUUUCAAGGUUUCUUCCACAGUAACCCAAGUUUUACAAAACACUGGUUUAUCCCUACUUGUGGUCUAAGGAAACAGAAGAAUGGCACAGAUUCCAUCUGGGAUUAUCUGGUAACUAAUGCUAAAGAAAUUCUUUAUUACUUCCACACAGGAAUCCUUUAAGGAUGAGCGAAGAGAUGAGAUGGAGAAGUUUCUGGGCAGAAUUCUCCGAAUUUUAGUAAGAGAGUACAGGAUUUCUCCUCUGCAAAUAGGAAGACAAUACUGGAAUAGAAAUCAGGCUGUAAUAUUUACAGGAAGCAAGUGUGGAAAAGAAAGCAAUCCCAAUGUAAACACCAAGGCAGAGAGGGCUUCUUCAUUUUCCCUUUGCAGAGUGGGGCACUGAUGAAGGUCAGCUCCUAAGAACAGCUGUUUUCCUGGGAAGAGCCCCUUCCCCAGCACAGAAUGCACGUGGUACUCGUUGAGAAUCCCUAAUAGGUUUUCUCCCCUCCCUCCCCCCAAAGUUUCAAGUUCAAUAAAUAGUAGAAAAAUAAUCCUUUACUUAAAAAUCUUGAGAUGCAUUGUCCCAGGUCCCGCACAGCGACGUGGGCACAGGGAUCUCUCCACCUGCAGAGAAGCCAGCAGCCUUCCCUGCUCUGCCUGCCACUUCUGGGCUCUCCAGCUGCAGAUUCCUGCUCUUCCAGUUAAGGAAACCAAAUCAUCUCUGGCUCUUUAAGCUCUCUCUCUACUCUUGGCUCAGCACAACAAACUCCAGCUGCUGGAUAAACUCCCAUCCCUGUUCCUGGAGGUCUAACGUGCCUCCUGCUCCAUCUGUCUCCAUGUUUUGGCAGGUCCAUUCAUCAAGCACUUUUCCAGGCCAGAGCCAACCUUACACUUGUAAAAAUGCAAAGUUCUGAUGCCUCAGUUUGGUGGGGAAGCCUGUGAGGUUGUCCCUGGGGAGCAGCACAGUCCCCGUGGCUCUGGAGUGGCAUUUGUGGUGUCCUCAGUGCACAGUGCCACAGCCUGCAGGUGGUGGCUGUGGUGUCCUGUCACAGUAUCACAGCCUGCAGGAGGUGGCUGUCCUGUCACAGCCUGCAGGGGGUGGCUGUGCUGUCCCAGUGUCACAGCCUGCAGGAGGUGGCUGUGCUGUCACAGGGGGUGGCUGUGCUGUCACAGGGGGUGGCUGUGCUGUCCCCAGUGUCACAGCCUGCAGGAGGUGGCUGUGCUGUCACAGGGGAUGGCUGUGCUGUCCCCAGUGUCACAGCCUGCAGGAGGUGGCUGUGCUGUCACAGGGGAUGGCUGUGCUGUCCCCAGUGUCACAGCCUGCAGGAGGUGGAUGUGUUGUCCCCAGUGUCACAGCCUGCAGGAGGUGGCCGUGCUGUCACAGGGGGUGGCCGUGCUGUCACAGGGGGUGGCUGUGCUGUCCUGUCCCAGCCUGCAGGAGGUGGCUGUGCUGUCACAGGAGGUGCUGUGCUGUCCCCAGUGUCACAGCCUGCAGGGGGUGGCUGUGCUGUCCCCAGUGUCACAGCCUGCAGGGGGUGGCUGUGCUGUCACAGGGGGUGGCCGUGCUGUCACAGGGGGUGGCUGU
Molecule: long non-coding RNA, 2068 nt
Organism: Oenanthe melanoleuca
Lineage: Eukaryota; Metazoa; Chordata; Aves; Passeriformes; Muscicapidae
Exons: 3
Source: RefSeq, a predicted model, not a curated record